This 457-nucleotide long non-coding RNA is filed under the name Lathyrus oleraceus (garden pea). Its description in RNAcentral is "Pisum sativum (pea) long non-coding RNA (PSAT_LNC031707)". Lineage: Eukaryota; Viridiplantae; Streptophyta; Magnoliopsida; Fabales; Fabaceae. The record is from RNAcentral.
AAAGAAAAACAACAAGCUCUUCACAUGUAAAAACCAACUUUCAUCUAAAAUCAACUUUCAUUUUAAACCAACUAAAAUCAACUGAAAAUUCAUUUUCAAAAUCCUUCGAUCUCUCUCUUAUCUCACAAUCUCUAUUCAUCAUUCUCAUGAAAAAAAAACUUUCAUCUAAUAUCAACAAAAAGAUCACCAAACAAAAUCCAGCAAACAACUUGAAGAUCAACAAACAAAAUAUAAAAACACCUUAGACCCGGAAACAAAUUCAAUGGAUAAUGCGUCACGAAAAGAAUAUAUUGAAUAUGAAACGAACGGUGACAACAAAUUCGUUGUGAACAGUACCGACGAUGGAGGAAAUAGAGGCAGGCGGACUCGUCGGCACAGAGACGCGGCGGAUCUUCGUCGAAAUGUUGAAGCGGCACAAGUUUGUUGAGGCUGUUUGGUGUUCUUGCGUUUAGAAUCC